This 254-nucleotide ribosomal RNA is filed under the name uncultured bacterium. RNAcentral describes it as "partial 16S ribosomal RNA". It matches the Rfam family "Bacterial small subunit ribosomal RNA", at positions 524 to 776 of the family's 1533-position model. The record is from RNAcentral.
UACGUAGGGUGCGAGCGUUGUCCGGAUUUAUUGGGCGUAAAGGGCUCGUAGGCGGCGUGUCGCGUCGGGAGUGAAAGACCGGGGCUUAACCCCGGUUCUGCUUCCGGUACGGGCAUGCUGGAGUGUGGCAGGGGAGACUGGAAUUCCUGGUGUAGCGGUGGAAGUGCGCAGAUAUCAGGAGGAACACCGGUGGCGAAGGCGGGUCUCUGGGCCAUUACUGACGCUGAGGAGCGAAAGCGUGGGGAGCGAACAGG